CCCGUAGACCUUUAAUAGAUGAUAGAAAAUUUAGAGGAAUGCAGUUCAUAAGUGUGUGCGCGUGUGUGUUAGAUGUAAUGUACAUUUUGUUGAUUUUGACUUCUCUUUGAUGCAACUUUUGCCUGGAGUUAACUAAACACAUUCAUGAUCUUGUAUGCCUAAAAUUUUUCAUGUAACUUGAUAGAGUCUUGAUUAUUCAACUAUGCAGAUUAUGGUAAGAUAAAUAAUUCUAUACAAAUGUUAUAGGCAGGUGUUGGUGAUUAUGACAGGUGGAUAGUGGUGGUGGCUAACUGGCUACGGCAGAGGGUGGUGAUGACCAUGAAAUUGGUUUUAAGAUAUAAAACUAAUAAUAUAUUUUAAUAAUAUAUGGUAAAUACAUAAUACGUACUAAUGUACCCUUCACUUGAUGAACUUGAUAAGAGGUCUUAAUAGCAA
Molecule: long non-coding RNA, 435 nt
Organism: Erigeron canadensis
Lineage: Eukaryota; Viridiplantae; Streptophyta; Magnoliopsida; Asterales; Asteraceae
Exons: 2
Source: RefSeq, a predicted model, not a curated record